RNAcentral lists this ribosomal RNA (229 nucleotides) under uncultured bacterium. Its description in RNAcentral is "partial 16S ribosomal RNA". It matches the Rfam family "Bacterial small subunit ribosomal RNA", at positions 568 to 796 of the family's 1533-position model. The record is from RNAcentral.
UGCGUAGGCGGACCUAUUAGUCAGUGGUGAAAUCCCGGGGCUCAACUCCGGAACUGCCAUUGAUACUGUAGGUCUUGAGUUUGGUUGAAGUGGGCGGAAUGUAGCAUGUAGCGGUGAAAUGCAUAGAUAUGCUACAGAACACCGAUCGCGAAGGCAGCUCACUAAACCAAAACUGACGCUCAGGCACGAAAGCGUGGGUAGCGAACAGGAUUAGAUACCCUGGUAGUCC